AUUGAACGCUGGCGGAAUGCUUUACACAUGCAAGUCGAACGGCAGCACGGACUUCGGUCUGGUGGCGAGUGGCGAACGGGUGAGUAAUGUAUCGGAACGUGCCCAGUCGUGGGGGAUAACGUAGUGAAAAUUACGCUAAUACCGCAUACGAUCUAUGGAUGAAAGCGGGGGAUCGCAAGACCUCGCGCGAUUGGAGCGGCCGAUAUCAGAUUAGGUAGCUGGUGGGGUAAAGGCCCACCAAGCCAAUGAUCUGUAGCUGGUCUGAGAGGACGACGAGCCACACUGGAACUGAGACACGGUCCAGACUCCUACGGGAGGCAGCAGUGGGGAAUUUUGGACAAUGGGCGAAAGCCUGAUCCAGCCAUUCCGCGUGCAGGAUGAAGGCCCUCGUGUUGUAAACUGCUUUUGUACAGAACGAAAAGGUUUCUACUAAUACUAGGAGCUCAUGACGGUACUGUAAGAAUAAGCACCGGCUAACUACGCGCCAGCCGCCGCCGUAA
Molecule: ribosomal RNA, 500 nt
Filed under: uncultured bacterium
Lineage: Bacteria
Description: partial 16S ribosomal RNA
Rfam family: Bacterial small subunit ribosomal RNA
Source: RNAcentral